This 434-nucleotide ribosomal RNA is filed under the name uncultured bacterium. Its description in RNAcentral is "partial 16S ribosomal RNA". It matches the Rfam family "Bacterial small subunit ribosomal RNA", at positions 341 to 792 of the family's 1533-position model. The record is from RNAcentral.
ACGGAAGGCAGCAGUGGGGAAUAUUGCACAAUGGGGGAAACCCUGAUGCAGCGACGCCGCGUGAGCGAAGAAGUAUUUCGGUAUGUAAAGCUCUGUCAGCAGGGAAGAAAAUGACGGUACCUGACUAAGAAGCCCCGGCUAACUACGUGCCAGCAGCCGCGGUAAUACGUAGGGGGCAAGCGUUAUCCGGAUUUACUGGGUGUAAAGGGAGCGUAGACGGCAAGGUAAGUCUGAAGUGAAAUGCCGGGGCCCAACCCCGGAACUGCUUUGGAAACUAUCUCGCUCGAGUACCGGAGGGGUAAGCGGAAUUCCUAGUGUAGCGGUGAAAUGCGUAGAUAUUAGGAGGAACACCAGUGGCGAAGGCGGCUUACUGGACGGUAACUGACGUUGAGGCUCGAAAGCGUGGGGAGCAAACAGGAUUAGAUACCCUGGUA